GCCAGGGGACCCAGCUCCCCAACCGUCCGCAGAGCAAGGAACCGGCCUCCUUACUGUUUCUAGAACCUGCCAGAUACUCGUCCAUCUCAAGGCCCUUGCACUGGCUAUGGCCCCUGCUCUGAAGGCACUUUACCAGAGACCUGCUUAGCUCACUCUUGCUUCCUGCCUCAAAUGCCACCUCAUCGAAACCCUCCUUGGUCAUGCUGGUGCACCCCAACAUGUCCCACUGUACCCCGAAGCAUUUCCCUUGCAGAAGGACAGCUGCCUUGCAGGAAGAGUCUUCUAUCUCCCCCUCCCCCAGCUGGGACAGCUCACAGCCACUGGCCGAGGGACACUGUUGCGGAGGUGUUGUGAGCACUAACUCCAUGUUGAGCUUGUAACACCAGCUGUAACUGAGCCAAAUGGCAGGCCAAUAGUCACCUGGACAACUGGCUGACUGAUGGAUUUGUUGACAACUGCCCGUCAAUAUGCAAAUCGGAUGGUUGGUGUCUGGGCUGUCCCUCCAAAACUGACAUCAGGAAGCUGAGAUAAUGUACCUACUGGGACCAUAAAUAAAUACAAGUGUCUUCAGCUUGCCAUUUGACAUACAGCUCACUGUGACUCCACUCUGGGAGUGUUCCCUCUGCAAAACCAAUGGCCCCUGUCCCAGUGGAUAGUUCUUUGAGUGUAUCCGUGGCAGCUUGCUAGCAUCCUGGACCCGUGUGAAUGUCCCCUUGAAAGGACUGGUCCCCUGGACCCUUUGGACAAGUGGCAUGGUGUCUGGUUCCUUCCUAGCACUCUACACUUGAGUGAUUUUUUAAACCUCUUUUUGCCUAUAUUUUCAUAAACUCCUUGUGCCUCAUUCCU
Marmota monax (woodchuck) is the source of this 846-nucleotide long non-coding RNA. RefSeq lists it as uncharacterized. NCBI's taxonomy places the organism in Eukaryota, Metazoa, Chordata, Mammalia, Rodentia, Sciuridae. The transcript is spliced from 3 exons. The record is from RefSeq and is a predicted model, not a curated record.